AUGAACGCUGGCGGCGUGCCUAAUACAUGCAAGUCGAGCGAACGGACGAGAAGCUUGCUUCUCUGAUGUUAGCGGCGGACGGGUGAGUAACACGUGGAUAACCUACCUAUAAGACUGGGAUAACUUCGGGAAACCGUAGCUAAUACCGGAUAUAUUUUGAACCGCAUGGUUCAAAAGUGAAAGACGGUCUUGCUGUCACUUAUAGAUGGAUCCGCGCUGCAUUAGCUAGUUGGUAAGGUAACGGCUUACCAAGGCAACGAUGCAUAGCCGACCUGAGAGGGUGAUCGGCCACACUGGAACUGAGACACGGUCCAGACUCCUACGGGAGGCAGCAGUAGGGAAUCUUCCGCAAUGGGCGAAAGCCUGACGGAGCAACGCCGCGUGAGUGAUGAAGGUCUUCGGAUCGUAAAACUCUGUUAUUAGGGAAGAACAUAUGUGUAAGUAACUGUGCACAUCUUGACGGUACCUAAUCAGAAAGCCACGGCUAACUACGUG
This 495-nucleotide ribosomal RNA is filed under the name uncultured bacterium. Its description in RNAcentral is "partial 16S ribosomal RNA". It matches the Rfam family "Bacterial small subunit ribosomal RNA", at positions 29 to 507 of the family's 1533-position model. The record is from RNAcentral.